UACGGGGGGGGCAAGCGUUGUUCGGAAUUACUGGGCGUAAAGGGUUCGUAGGUGGCCAACUCAGUCAGACGUGAAAUCCCUCAGCUCAACUGGGGAACUGCGUCUGAUACUAGAUGGCUCGAGUGCAGGAGAGGAACGCGGAAUUCCAGGUGUAGCGGUGAAAUGCGUAGAUAUCUGGAGGAACACCGGUGGCGAAGGCGGCGUUCUGGACUGCUACUGACACUGAGGAACGAAAGCCAGGGGAGCAAACGGG
This 253-nucleotide ribosomal RNA is filed under the name uncultured bacterium. RNAcentral describes it as "partial 16S ribosomal RNA". It matches the Rfam family "Bacterial small subunit ribosomal RNA", at positions 524 to 776 of the family's 1533-position model. The record is from RNAcentral.